UAAGGAAUAUUGGUCAAUGGACGCAAGUCUGAACCAGCCAUGCCGCGUGGAGGAUUAAGGCCCUCUGGGUUGUAAACUCCUUUUAUCUGGGAAGAAAUGUACUUUUUCUUGAGUACUUGACGGUACCAGAGGAAUAAGCACCGGCUAACUCCGUGCCAGCAGCCGCGGUAAUACGGAGGGUGCAAGCGUUAUCCGGAUUCACUGGGCUUAAAGGGUGCGUAGGUGGGCAGGUAAGUCAGUGGUGAAAUCUCCGGGCUUAACCCGGAAACUGCCGUUGAUACUAUUUGUCUUGAAUAUUGUGGAGGUAAGCGGAAUAUGUCAUGUAGCGGUGAAAUGCUUAGAUAUGACAUAGAACACCAAUUGCGAAGGCAGCUUACUACACAAUCAUUGACGCUGAGGCACGAAAGCGUGGGGAUCAAACA
Molecule: ribosomal RNA, 422 nt
Filed under: uncultured bacterium
Lineage: Bacteria
Description: bacterial SSU rRNA
Rfam family: Bacterial small subunit ribosomal RNA
Source: RNAcentral